UCUCAAACCACUAAACAAUAGAGUAAUCAACCAAAAAAGUAAGUAGUAGAAAAUGUCUAAGUCAUGCACUCUCGUUGCUCUCCUUUGCCUCUACUUCCUUAUCUUCUCUUCAACUGACGCAGGUUUGAAGGUGGUGGAGGCUAAGGUAUGUAAAAGGUACAGCGACUCGUCGAGCGGAGUUUGCAUUCUGUCGAGCAGAUGUAAUUCCCGAUGCAUUAAUACGGAAAAAGCUAAGUUUGGAGCGUGUCACGUAGAUACCCAUGGUAGAGCUUGUUUCUGUUAUUUCAAUUGCUAAAAAAAAUAAUAAGCAUUUGGGUUUUAUUCUAAGUGGAUUUCUGUGAAUCUUAUGUAAUUUGUAUCCCUUCCCUUGGUAUCGUUGUGUUGUGUGCUUUUUUUGUUGCUGUUGUUGUUGUUGUUGUUGUGUCUUGCAGAAUAAUACACAUUACGAUGUGUUGUUGUAUCAUAAUAUUUCGUGUUUGGUUAUAUUACACAAGCAUUAUGUACUUAUUCUUA
This is a long non-coding RNA of Arabidopsis lyrata subsp. lyrata, 513 nucleotides long. RefSeq lists it as uncharacterized. The record is from RefSeq and is a predicted model, not a curated record. The transcript is spliced from 2 exons. NCBI's taxonomy places the organism in Eukaryota, Viridiplantae, Streptophyta, Magnoliopsida, Brassicales, Brassicaceae.